Stegodyphus dumicola is the source of this 1006-nucleotide long non-coding RNA. The record is from RefSeq and is a predicted model, not a curated record. NCBI's taxonomy places the organism in Eukaryota, Metazoa, Arthropoda, Arachnida, Araneae, Eresidae.
UAAGAAACUAUGUUGCGUGAAAUUUGGCAGAAAUAUAAAGCAAUAGGUCAGUUUUCGAAUCACAAUGUUAGAAUCAGGUUUGGAAUGAAAUUUACUUAAAUAUUAUAUUUUAAAAAAAUUAGUUUGAAAUACGUAAUUUUAAUGUGUAGUUUGGAAAGCCAUCAAUAGAUGGCGCUACGAGUUAAAAUUUAGCAUUGUAAUCUUAUUUCUGCAAAAAUUCACGAAGUAAUUGAUUUUGAUAUCAGUUAUAAAUCAUAUUUUUUUCUAAAUAAUAUUUAGAAGCGUUUCAUAUAUUCCUUUAUACACAGUUUUCACUAAACAGUGUCAGCUGUCAGCGGAAUGACGUUUACGGCAACCCUAUUGCAUUGCUAUUCCGCACUCGUUUUGUUUACAUUUAUUUGUACUGUGGUCAGUUAGCAAAAAAUAUGCGAAAAUAUCAAGGACGACCGAAAAAACAUCCUGGUUUUAAUAAAAGAUCCAGAAUUCAGCGAAACGUCGAGCUCAAGAAAAAAAUAUGAAAUUAAAUUCCCGAGAUGUGGAAGAUUCCGAACAAGCGGAUGUUUUCGAAAGGUGAGAAAUAAUUUAUUCUUUAUAUCGACUACCUCGUGUUUAUGAUUUCGUAGUAAGUUAAUUCCGAAGUAAAAUAUGCGUAUUUUUUUUUAUUGAAGGUCAGAAAUUAUUGAUACAACUGCAUCUGUGUCAAAGAAGAAUCAUUGCCCGGAUGAUUUUUUUUACAAAGUCUGGAAGUGAAAAAUUUGACUUUUCUACACCAGAAGUUACAGCUAAUGUUCCUAAGACAAACCAGGCUUUCUUGAGUUCUGAUCUGGACAUUUCAGUUAUUGACUCUGACGUAGAAGGUAGAAAUACAAGCUCUCUUUUGGGGUGUAAAUUUUGUGCAUGAUUUGGCUUUCAUUGAGACGUCUCUGGGUAAGGAGUUACUAAGGAAGAGAAACUUACAUGCAGGUUGAAGCAUGCAGUGUCAAAUGUAUAAGGAAUAUAAAAGAUG